This 254-nucleotide ribosomal RNA is filed under the name uncultured bacterium. Its description in RNAcentral is "partial 16S ribosomal RNA". It matches the Rfam family "Bacterial small subunit ribosomal RNA", at positions 524 to 776 of the family's 1533-position model. The record is from RNAcentral.
CACGUAGGGGGCAAGCGUUGUCCGGAAUCAUUGGGCGUAAAGAGCUCGUAGGCGGCUCAGUAAGUCGGGUGUGAAACCCUCAGGCUCAACCUGGGGACGCCACCCGAUACUGCUGUGGCUAGAGUCCAGUAGGGGAGUGUGGAAUUCCCGGUGUAGCGGUGAAAUGCGCAGAUAUCAGGAGGAACACCGGUGGCGAAGGCGGGUCACUGGCCCGGUACUGACGCUGAGGUGCGAAAGCGUGGGGAGCAAACAGG